GCUGCAGCAAAAUCUGUAGCCGGGCCUCGCAAUCCCGAAUAUCCAAACGACGCACAACACGCGCCAGCGUGUUUUUU
RNAcentral lists this small RNA (77 nucleotides) under Klebsiella aerogenes. RNAcentral's name for it is "isrK". It matches the Rfam family "isrK Hfq binding RNA". The record is from RNAcentral. Lineage: Bacteria; Pseudomonadati; Pseudomonadota; Gammaproteobacteria; Enterobacterales; Enterobacteriaceae.